Molecule: long non-coding RNA, 330 nt
Filed under: Pan troglodytes (chimpanzee)
Lineage: Eukaryota; Metazoa; Chordata; Mammalia; Primates; Hominidae
Description: long non-coding RNA NONPTRT004467
Source: RNAcentral
AUGUUAUUAUUGACAAGUGGGGGCUUACUCCUGCCAUUUUGUUAUUUGUUUUCUGGUUGUUUUUUAGUCAUCUCUUCCUUCUUCUCUUCCUUUCUGCAGUUUCAUUUUGGCAGUUAUUUUAUAGAUGGUGCUAUGUAGUUCAUAUUUCAUCACAUUAGGAGAUGUACUUUUAGUAAUGCUAAGACUGAGCAAUGGGUUCAGAUGGUGACAGUCUAAUCCACUAUAAAAUUUCCCAUCAACCUUAAACUUAAUUGUUUUACCAUCCAUUGAUGAACAUUGCCUGAUUCCAUCAUUUCGCUAGAGGUGACAAAAAGGUAAUUUUGAAUUCUG